Molecule: non-coding RNA, 74 nt
Organism: Merops nubicus (carmine bee-eater)
Lineage: Eukaryota; Metazoa; Chordata; Aves; Coraciiformes; Meropidae
Source: Rfam
GUCUCUGUGGUGCAACUGGUUAGCACGUUCGGCUGUUAACCGAAAGGUUGGUGGUUCAAGCCCACCCAGAGACG